This 460-nucleotide ribosomal RNA is filed under the name uncultured bacterium. RNAcentral describes it as "partial 16S ribosomal RNA". It matches the Rfam family "Bacterial small subunit ribosomal RNA", at positions 338 to 795 of the family's 1533-position model. The record is from RNAcentral.
CCUACGGGUGGCAGCAGUGAGGAAUAUUGGUCAAUGGCCGGAAGGCUGAACCAGCCAUGCCGCGUGAAGGUCAGUGCCCUAUGGGCGUUAAACUUCUUUUGUGCGGGAGCAAUAAUGGUCACGUGUGGCCAGACGAGAGUACCGUACGAAUAAGCAUCGGCUAACUCCGUGCCAGCAGCCGCGGUAAUACGGGGGAUGCAAGCGUUAUCCGGGCUUUUUGGGUUUAAAGGGUGCGUAGGCUGGGAGGUAAGUCAGCGGUGGAAUGCCCGCGCUCAACGGGGUAAAGUGCCAUUGAUACUGGCUUGCUGGAAUGCGGAUGAGGUGGGAGGAAUGUGUGGUGUAGCGGUGAAAUGCAUAGAUAUCACACAGAACACCGAUUGCGAAGGCAUCUCACGAAUCCGCGAUUGACGCUGAUGCACGAAAGCGUGGGUAUCAAACAGGAUUAGAUACCCGUGUAGUC